RNAcentral lists this transfer RNA (84 nucleotides) under Bacteroidales bacterium. RNAcentral's name for it is "tRNA-Leu". It matches the Rfam family "tRNA". From Rfam's summary of the family: Transfer RNA (tRNA) molecules are approximately 80 nucleotides in length. Lineage: Bacteria; Pseudomonadati; Bacteroidota; Bacteroidia; Bacteroidales. The record is from RNAcentral.
GCCCAGGUGGCGGAAUUGGUAGACGCGUCGGUCUCAAAAACCGAUGAGGUAAUUCUCGUGCCGGUUCGAUCCCGGCCCCGGGUA